Molecule: long non-coding RNA, 1558 nt
Organism: Pelobates fuscus (common spadefoot toad)
Lineage: Eukaryota; Metazoa; Chordata; Amphibia; Anura; Pelobatidae
Exons: 3
Source: RefSeq, a predicted model, not a curated record
UUUGGUCGUCGAGUUCAUGGAACUGAAAACUGACACGGCAACUCCCGAACACCGCUGGACUUCCAGAAUCACCUGUGUUCGGUUCUACAACACUUAGAAAGACACUGUUCGGUGGAAACAUUCCCACGAACAAGGGGAACAAGCUCCAGGAAAUAUUUGCCUGGAAAAUACAUUUUAGAAAAUAUCAGUUAAUGCAGGACAGAAAGAUUGACAGUUCUUGUAGGAACCAGUUACACAGAAUGGAUAUGCUGGCACUUCCUCUGUGACAAUUAAUUUCCUUAUCAUCUAAAUGAAACAUACUUUACCGAAACUAUGACCCAAGGACAGUGUGAAAUGUUGAGCACAGUUUAAUAUGAGCCCCUUUAUUGAUGGCAGAAGAACCUGAAUCCCUACAUUCCAAAUACUGUGGACGAGCACACUACUUGUAUCCGGCUCCAUAACCCUCGAGAGGGCUUAUCUUUGCCUUUGUUAACUGGCAAACGUAAACACAAUGUCAGCAGGAAGGCAACGGGUCCGUGAGGGCAAUUAGCCAGUAGGGGUAACAGUUUGCCAACUGACUAUGCCAGCACUGCAAGAUAUGGGGUUCAAAAUGGACUACACCAGCAAGAUGGUAUCUGAUCUGGCAAAGGACUACACCAGCAAGAUUGCAGCUGAUCUAGCAAAGGAGGUACUGGUCUGGCAAUGGACUACGCCAGCUGUAUGUUAUCUGGUGUGACAAUGGACUACGCAAGCAGUAUGGUAGCUGGUCUGGCAAUGGACUACGCAAGCAGUAUGGUAGCUGGUCUGGCAAUGGACUACGCAAGCAGUAUGGUAGCUGGUCUGACAAUGGACUACGCCAGCUGUAUGUUGUCUGGCCUGACAAUGGAUUACGCCAGCUGUAUGUUAUCUGGUCUGACAAUGGACUACGCAAGCAGUAUGGUAUCUGGUCUGUCCGUGGAUUAAGGGGUAUACACAUCUACUGGUCUAUAAGGGUAUACACAGCAAUAUAGAAACACUACCUUAAUGGUUUAUCACCAUUUGGUUUUCCAGGAGUGUUUCCCCUCUCUGACUUUCGAACGUCUGUACUAAAUGUAGCAUUAGGAACAUUGGGGUUUCCAUGGUUACUGCUCCAUCUAUGCGUCUGUACGGAAUUCCUAUUAUCUAUGUUUUUGGAAUACACAAUCCCUGCCCAGACAUUCUUUAAUCAUGGGGGGUCAAUGUUAACAUGGGAUGGAUUUAUUGUAGAAUGUAGUACAGGAUAGAAACAGGUUGGAAGAAUUGUGGCUAUAGCAACAUUUUAAAAAGUGGAGAUUUGAAUCGAAAUUGGUAUUUUAUAAAUUAGUUGUGUUAUGCCCCCUGGCUGUCAAUCAGACAGCGGAGUGCUCCUUUAAAUAUGUUUGACUUUGCUGAGGAAAUAGUGACUGAUCAAAUGAUUCUUUUCGUGAUGGCAGAGACUGGUCCGCCCAUUGUUUAAUGCAUAUUAAAAGCAAUCCACUAAUAACAUAUUAAAAUAAACACAAAGUAUACCGUGCUCGGAGUAUCUCAUGUUUGUAACAAAUCGUUCUGCUGUUAGAAGACC